UAAACACAAGUGAUUUUACUGAUAAAUUGAUACAGUACUUUAUAAUGAUGCUUGUGGAUUCGCAAAACUGGUAAAAGCCUUUUUACGGAAUUACCAAAACUGGUAAAGAUUUGGCGACUCCGCUAGUUAAAAUGAGGCAAAACUGGGAGGAAAAGUUGUCAAUAAUGUCUACUACUUCACUUACCUGGCCCAAACACUCCCAGUUAUCAGCGCGGUCUAGCAGGACUAUAUCAUGACUUUUAUGUCUGAAUUUCUGUCACAAACUGAACUGCCUGGAGAGGUUUCCUGAAAGAAAGUAUGACCGAACUGUUAAACGCGAUUAUAUGCUUUUGAAUUUCAGUUUCAGGAAUAUUACAGCCACAGCCAAAAUCACUAAAUUUCAGUUUUCAUGCCGGACAGUAAUCAUCACUUGAAUUCGAUUAAAUCCAAUCAAAUAGUUUGAAAUUUUUAAAAACUCUUUUGAAUUUGUGUGAACUGCCUAAAAUAGUUUGACCAGAACCCAAUUAUUUCAGUACCUACUGAAAUGAUCCGAAUUUCUGAAAUUUUGUUGAAUGUGAAAACCAUUAAACUAGUUUCUGUCACCUGUUUUACCUUGAUACUUUAUUCACUUGUUCUGCCAUGCUCAUUUCCUCUUCUUGUUGUUGCUUUCAUGCAGAUGCCGUCACUCCGAUAACCUGUG
RNAcentral lists this long non-coding RNA (679 nucleotides) under Triticum aestivum (bread wheat). Its description in RNAcentral is "long non-coding RNA (TAES_LNC023659)". The record is from RNAcentral. Lineage: Eukaryota; Viridiplantae; Streptophyta; Magnoliopsida; Poales; Poaceae.